Long non-coding RNA from Stegostoma tigrinum, 3538 nucleotides. RefSeq lists it as uncharacterized. The transcript has 3 exons. The record is from RefSeq and is a predicted model, not a curated record. Lineage: Eukaryota; Metazoa; Chordata; Chondrichthyes; Orectolobiformes; Stegostomatidae.
CUUCCCCUGAACCGAGUGAGCAGACUUUACUGUUACAACUUUCACCAGCCUUGCUGUUCCCGUAGAUUUUCUCCAACUUUCACUCCUGGCUUUUGUGUUUAUUUUUGCUUUUUUUUCCCUGCCCUCUCCCACUGUCACUUUCCCUCCUCGCUUGUGUUUUUUUUCUUAUUUAAAUAUGUUUUCAUGAAUUUCACAUCUGUACAUGAGGGAAAUGGGGAGGAGACUGCGAAAUUUUAGUCUCACCUGUUUCGAUUUUCCACCGUGUGUUUCUGAGAGGAGACUCCUAACGCUAAAAAAGACAGAGGUGGAGGAGACUGGUGGUGGUGUAAGCUGAGGGCCAUCUUCCCUCAGUAGAGGGGAGUAUUUGAAAAGGACCUUUCUCAAGGUACCUUCGUUUUAUAUUUGAGCAGGAAUCUCGCCCACCCUUAUUGCCUGCCAUUGGUGUAUGUUGGAAGGAUUUAUGGGAUGGCUCUUUGGCCAAGUUAUGAACAUACCUUUGUUGACCAUCAAGUCUUGCACCUGGAUUCGAACCUGGAGAUUCUGACUCAGAGGCAGAGACGUGAGCAAUUACUCAAAACCACUUCUAACAAAUACACCACAAAAAGCACCCUUAAUUGAAAGGAUUUUGUCUGAUUGGCGGCUUCUUGUGUUGUACUUUGAUAUUUGCACAUGCAAGCUGACAUUAUACUGCUCUGAAGGUAUCUUAUCACAGGAGCUAUCUUUCAGAUUGAAUGAUAAAUAAACUGAAGUCUUGUCUACAUUUUCUGGCCAGCAUCUCUCCCUCAGUUAACUUUAAUGAAAACAUAUGAACUGGCCAUUUGUCUUACUUUCUUCCUUUGUUCAGCAGAAAACUUUCUUUUAUUCAUUAAUGGGAUGAGGGUGUUGCUGGCUAGGCAGCAUUUAUCACCCAUCCCUAAUUGCCCAGAGGGCAGUUAAAAAUCAACCAUAUUGCUGGGGGGUCUGGAGUCACAUGUAUGUGAGUCAUUUUCUUCACUAAAGGACAUUAGUGAACCAAAUGGGUCAUUUUGAUAAUCAACACAAUUUCAACAUCAACUUAGACUCUUGAUUACAGAUUUCUUUUAAAAACUGAAUUCAAAUUCCACCAUCUGGCGCAGCAGGAUUUGAACUCAAGUGCCCAGAUCAUUACCUGGGUCUCUGGAUCAAUAGUCACAAUAUGAUCACUGGGCCAUGCACCUCUCUUCUGCUUCGCUUGGAACAGCAAGAAUAUUUCAUUGGACAGAUAGAACAUUUGAUUAGUCUGAGAAUGUAAAAGGACCCUAUUGUGAAGGCAGGUCCAUGGUUUGAAGUGACUUGGAAUUUAAAUAAUACAUCAAUGAAAUUAAAACAAAAUAACUUGCCUCUCCCACCUCUAAAUUUUUUCCAGUUUUGAUGAGGGUUCAUGAACCUGAAACAUUAAUCCUGUUUCUCUGACCAAUACCAUUACCUGACCUGAUGAAUAUUCCCAGCAUGUUGUGUUUGUUUUUGAUUUCCAGCUUCUACCACAUUUUCCUUUUCUAACGAUAAAAUCCAUGACUAAUGUUCUGAGGAAGAAGGAAGGAAAAUACAAUAAAGAGAGACUUGAAAUUUUAUAGCACAUGUCACUCUCUCAGUUGUUCAAUGUGCUUCACAACCAAUGGAGUACUUUCUAAAAAAUAAUCAUUCACAUGUCUCAGAACAUUGCCCGGUCCCUGGAUUAAUCGUCCAGCAAUAAUACUACUAGGCUAUCGCCUCCCCUCACUUCUGAACAAUAGUUGAGAAGUGUGGAGGGUAACAAAUUAAGCAUAUUAAAGACUUUAUUUCAGAUUUUACUUCCAACUCAUGUAACUUCAAACUGUCCUUUGAAUCACAAAAGUAUAUUUCAUUUUCCCUUUAUCAUAUAGUCAGAAAUGGGAAUAUUUGCUUAUGUGUUCUGUUCAUUCAAAACAUCUCAGAUAAUGAAGUAACCCAUGCCCACAUGCAGUGCGAAUGGACAACAUCCACACUUAGACUGAGAGUUGUCCCAAUCAUUUAUGUCAUUCAAGUGCUUAUACUGUCCAUUACCAGCAAGAGAUAACCUAAGCACCUUUCGCUGACUCUUUACAGCAUUACUAUCAUAAGAUCCCCCUCUAUCAAUAUCCUGGAGCUCAGUGUUAAACAGAAUUUAUUUGGACCAGCCAUAUAAACAUUGUGCCUACAAGAACAGGCCAGAGAAUAUAUAUCCUAUGCUGAGUCACUCCAGACUCCUCGAAGCUUUUCUAUGUGAUGGAAUAGUCCCCUCUUUUCUGAAUGCGUUCAUCUCGGACAACAUUCAAGGAGUUUAACAAUGGUCAGGACAAUUAAUAGGCACCACAUCUACCACUAGUACACUAUGGCUACAGUGUGUGCCAUCUAAAAGGUACUGUAGCAACUCACUGAGGUUUUUUCAACAGUACUGCCCAUACCUGUGACCUUUACUAUGUGGCAGGCUUAUGGGAACAUAAUCACGUGAAGUUUCCCAUCCAAGUCACAUAUUAUCUUUUCAAAAACACAUCAUCAUUCCUUCAAUGUUGCUGGUUCAAAAUUCUGGAAAUCCAUUGCAGGAGCACUCUCACCACAUGUACUGCAAAUGUCCAGAGAGGUGGUACAUCACUACUUCAGAAAGAAAACUGAGAAUGUGCCAUUAACGCUAAACUUAUGCUGAAUGAAUAAGUUAUUGAAAAUCAAAUUCUGUGUACUGACUUGGGUGUGGACAGUAUGUAACGUUGUCUAGAAUCAUGGCAAUUAAACCAAAACAGAUUAACUUAAAAUAACUGAAACAAAACAAGCAUUUGUAAAGAGUUCUGUUAAAGAGCAAUUAAAUACUUUUUCCUUUCACCAAAGUUAUUUUGUAGCCUCUAUGAGUUUUAAGCUUCUUACAGCUUUCCUUCUACCUAGAUUUAAAUAAUUUAUGAUAGGUCUGUAAUAUACUAAAGCUAAUAACAAGUCUAUCAUUCAAACUGGGCACUCAAACAGUUUAAUUACCUUCACAUGAAGUUUCACGUUAUUUCAAUGGUGUCAUUGGUAAUGAAACAAAAUAGUGAAUAUUAUAGAACUUGAAUGCGUGUAUGUCAUCAGACUUAACUAUUUACUGAAUAAGUCAAACCCUAUUUGCUGGGUUUAAAUUUCAUUGUUAUAGUAAUGACAAUUUUAUCUGAGUCACAAAGACUAAUUAUGAUGCAAAAUACAACUGAAGUUUUCGACAGUCGCAUUCAUCUCUAUGCCUAUAAUUCUGUGACUAUCACAGUCUCUAUUGCCUUUAUAAUAUUUUGUACCCCUUUGGUGGAUUUGCUUAAGGUGGCAAUAAAUUUUCCAAUCUGAAAUUUUAGCUGUACAUUCCAUGGUGUGACUGAAAUAUUGCUUAAGAUAACUUUCUCUUUUUUUUAACCCAAAUCUUCCUUUUUGUCAAUUGUUUGCACAAUUAUAAACUGUUCUCCUCUCUUAAUUACCACUGUGGAAUAAGUUAGUAGUAAUUGGUUGAUGUGUACAGGCCACUGCAAAGCUAUCAGGAAUGAGACCUGAUUGGUUUCCUCUUCUGGGGCAU